This 500-nucleotide ribosomal RNA is filed under the name uncultured bacterium. RNAcentral describes it as "partial 16S ribosomal RNA". It matches the Rfam family "Bacterial small subunit ribosomal RNA", at positions 29 to 507 of the family's 1533-position model. The record is from RNAcentral.
AAUCAACGCUGGCGGCGUGCCUAACACAUGCAAGUCGAACGCGAAAGCCCCGCAAGGGGUAAGUAGAGUGGCAAACGGGUGAGUAACACGUGGGUGACCUGCCUUCGAGUGGGGGAUAACGUCCCGAAAGGGACGCUAAUACCGCAUGACAUCCUGCUUUUGAAAAAGCGGAGAUCAAAGCUGGGGAUCGCAAGACCUAGCGCUUGAAGAGGGGCCCGCGCCUGAUUAGCUAGUUGGUGAGGUAACGGCUCACCAAGGCGACGAUCAGUAUCCGGCCUGAGAGGGCGGACGGACACACUGGGACUGAGGCACGGCCCAGACGCCUACGGGAGGCAGCAGUGGGGAAUUGUUCGCAAUGGGCGCAAGCCUGACGACGCAACGCCGCGUGGAGGACGAAGAUCUUCGGGUCGUAAACUCCUGUCGAGCGGGACGAACGCUUCGCGGAUGAAUAAUCCGCGGAAUUGACGGUACCGCUAAAGGAAGCCCCGGCUAACUCCGUG